Non-coding RNA from Cricetulus griseus (Chinese hamster), 692 nucleotides. The record is from RefSeq and is a predicted model, not a curated record. Lineage: Eukaryota; Metazoa; Chordata; Mammalia; Rodentia; Cricetidae.
AUAAAUAAAGUCUUUAAAAAAAGAAAAAAUUAAGGGUGGAAACAAUAGGCACAACUUUAAAAGAAAAAUCUCAGGGCAGGAAAGCUGAAAAUCUCAACAGAUGCCUGGAGGAAGAAAAUGGAGCAGAGAAAAAAAAGCUAUGCUGGCAUGGAUGUUGGUUAUAUGGCAGACAUGCAGCUACAUGGUGGAGUGGGGAGCUUUAGAGAAAGAGUUGAGCCCAAAGUGUCAGGGGAAAGCAUGCUCAGAAAAAAAAAAGAAAGAAAGGAAGAAAUGGAAAAGUUACUCUCUUCUCAGUAAUCCAGAAAGACAACCUGAUUUACAUAAAUUAUGAGACUGAAGCUAUUGUGCUAGAGGCUGGAACUCUGAAUAGGAAAAGUACAUUAUUUCAUUAAAGGGCUAAUUAUUCCUCUUUCCUUUUUUUAGCACGGCUUAAGGUGAAUCUUCCUUCUGGAGGGGUGGUCCCUUUGUCAGGAUGAGGAAGAAUUGACACCGAUGUUUAUAAAUCUUUUCUGUGGUGCUGGGAAUUGAUCCUGGAGCCUCAUGCAUGCAAGAUCAGUACUAUCGAGUGCACCGGCAUCUCUCUAAGUCUCCCUGGGCUUGGUUCGUGGUGCCAGGCGGCGAGGACUCCGAGAGCGCUCUGGCCCUGGAAGGGGCUGGAAGGAGAGGAUGCCUUCGGAGGCGCGGAACCCCAA